ACAGAGGAUGAGAUGGCUGGAUGGCAUCACUGACUGGAUGGACGUGAGUCUCAGUGAACUCCGGGUGUUGGUGUUCGACAGGGAGGCCUGGCAUACUGAGAUUCAUGGGUUCGCAAAGAGCCGGACACGACUGAGCGACUGAUCUAAUCUGAACAAGUGUAGGACUCAGCCCAGUUCAGUGUAGAGAGCGAGAUAUGGGCUCAGAAGUGUUUGUUAGACCUUCAACGUGGGCAGGACCCACCUGCUUCAGUGCAGGGACCAAAAUGUGGUUUCAGGAGCAUUUAUCAAAGUCUUGAAUAAGGGCAGGAACCGGGCGGCUUCAAGGCAGGGCGUGAGAUGCGGGUACAGGAGUGUUUCCAGGGGGAUUGAAAAAGGGGAGGACACACCUUAGUUCAGGGGCAGGCAGCGAGUUGUCAGCUCAGGAUGUUUUUCUGGGGGCUUGAACAAAGUAGAAACCAUUCUAGUUCAGUGCAGGGAUGGAGAUGUUGGCUCAGGAGUGUUUGUCAGGGAUUUGCAUGAGGGCAGGGACCAGCAAACUUCAGUGCAGUGAGUGAGAUAUGGGAUCGUAGUGUUGCCUGGGGUAUUGGUCAAGGGGAGGACACACCUUACUUCAGUGGCAGGGAGAGAGUUGUCAGCUCAGGAUUGUUUGCCGGGACUUGAACAAAUGCUGGAACUAUCCUGGUUCAGUGCAGGAACCAAGAUGUUGGCUCAGGAGUGUUUGUCAGAGUCUUGAACAAGUGCAGGACACAGCCUAGUUCAGUGCAGGGACGGUGAUGCAGGCUCAAGAGUGUUUGUCAGGGGUUUGAACAAGGGCUUGACCCAGCCUAUUUUAGUGCAGGGACUGAGAUGUGGGCUUAGGAGUUUUUGCCAGGGAUUUUGACAAGGUCUGGACCCAGCCCUGGUUCANUGCUGUGCGUGAGAUG
RNAcentral lists this small RNA (923 nucleotides) under Bos taurus (domestic cattle). The record is from RNAcentral. Lineage: Eukaryota; Metazoa; Chordata; Mammalia; Artiodactyla; Bovidae.